UAGUCGAAUACCCUUCGGAGCCGGUCUCCUGCUGUUAGUGAAAAUGAUGGUCAAGGUGGUGGACGGUAAGUAUCAUUAACUCUUAAUCCUUUGCUGUUAGUGUCAGAUGUACCUGUUCAGAAGACAGUACACAACCUUCAGUGGCAGUGGAAGAAAUGUAGGUUUUUGUGUUGGUUUUUGCCGUUUUCAAAGAGGUAGGAAUAUAUCUUGUGAAGCGCUGUGUGAUUAAGCUGUUACAAGUUUGAUUAAUAAAUUGAUUUUUAGUUGGGCAUUCAAGCCAUGUCAUUUAAUCCAGCCAAGAUGGGUAAGUUUAGCAAGCGUUAAUCAGUGUAAACUAAUCUCAGAGAAUAUAACAGAAUAACACAAAGUUUUUUAAUGAAGACACUCUAAUUUUUUCUCUCAUUCGUCUUCUAAUUGUGUAAUUUUAAACUGGUUUUAAUGAGGAAAGAAGUAGUAAAUUCGUAGUUUUAGAUGAUCGCAAGGGUUUGACCUUUCCGGAUUCGAGUGAAAUUGGGGGUGAUUUUUUGUACGAGACGGUGGUCCCCAACUGCCAAAAUCACACGUACUGUGAACACUUGGACCGCUACCCUAAAGAACUAUUUUCCAAAAUAUUAAAAAGCCGCGAAAAGGAGUUUUCUCGGUACUUUCAGAGUAUGGCAGUAAUAGAGCCCAUUAUGAGUAGGAACCAAGACACUUCCUGUAUUUGUGCAUCACGCAAAAGUAUUAUAUACCCAAAAGCGGCAUAUAAUAUAAAAAAUAAUCUGAAAUUUAUCUACAACUUCGAUGGAUACAAACAAGGAGUGUCCGUAGAGGUCUGCGUGAUGUAAGUUUUUUAAAUUUUAUUGUGAAUAAGGACGGACUUUAGUACGUGUUUUAGAAAAAAUCAAAUGUGCAAAUUUUACGAGAAGGUGAGAAAGUUAAAAACAAGGUGUCGACAAAAGUUCGUCGAAAAAUUGUUACUGACGGCUGAUGAAAAUGGAAGACCGUACGCUGAUAGGUACAGAUUUCCAUCAGCUUGUGUCUUCGUACAAGAUAAUUAGCUCUAAUGUGUUUUUUACUUAAAGUUGGGUAACUGCAGAGUAAUACAUUUACUUUGUGGAGAAGUGAACUGAGACGAUUUUAUCCCUGUAAUUAUCGCAGUAUUAGGUGGAAGAAAACGAUAGGUAUUAAUCACAAUUUAGUGAAUCCCAGCUAAUAAUUCUUAAAAAGUAAUUACGUGUGAUUUGUGUGAUUAUGACGAAUUGUAGGUACGUAAGUUAUUGUGGACUAAUGUGUGUUUUUAUAAUUAAAUUUUAGCAAUUUUAGUCCGGACGUUAGUCAAGUUUUUAUUUAUUGUUACAAGCUUUACCAGUGUUUGAAACUUUUUAAGCAUUUUAUGAAAUAUUAUGUUAGAACUAGCUUAAGCAUUAAAAAUGUACAAACAGACGAAAAGUAUUGUAGUAUUGUAAAUUUAUGUGUACUAUAAACUGUAAUUAAUAAAGCUGUUGAUGUUCGAA
This is a long non-coding RNA of Tribolium castaneum (red flour beetle), 1496 nucleotides long. RefSeq lists it as uncharacterized. The transcript has 2 exons. The record is from RefSeq and is a predicted model, not a curated record. Lineage: Eukaryota; Metazoa; Arthropoda; Insecta; Coleoptera; Tenebrionidae.